This 245-nucleotide ribosomal RNA is filed under the name uncultured bacterium. RNAcentral describes it as "partial 16S ribosomal RNA". It matches the Rfam family "Bacterial small subunit ribosomal RNA", at positions 524 to 768 of the family's 1533-position model. The record is from RNAcentral.
UACGUAGGAGGCGAGCGUUGUCCGGAUUUACUGGGUGUAAAGGGUGCUCAGGUGGUUCUGUAAGUCAGAGGUGAAAGCCCGGAGCUUAACUCCGGAACUGCCUUUGAUACUGCAGGGCUUGAGUAUGGAAGAGGCUGAUGGAAUUUCUGGUGUAGCAGUGAAAUGCGUAGAUAUCAGGAAGAACACCAGUGGCGAAGGCGGUCAGCUGGUCCAUUACUGACACUAAAGCACGAAAGCGUGGGGAG